This 467-nucleotide ribosomal RNA is filed under the name uncultured bacterium. RNAcentral describes it as "partial 16S ribosomal RNA". It matches the Rfam family "Bacterial small subunit ribosomal RNA", at positions 28 to 506 of the family's 1533-position model. The record is from RNAcentral.
GACGAACGCUGGCGGCGUGCUUAACACAUGCAAGUCGAACGGAAAGGCCCUGCUUUUGUGGGGUGCUCGAGUGGCGAACGGGUGAGUAACACGUGAGUAACCUGCCCUUGACUUUGGGAUAACUUCAGGAAACUGGGGCUAAUACCGGAUAGGAGCUCCUGCUGCAUGGUGGGGGUUGGAAAGUUUCGGCGGUUGGGGAUGGACUCGCGGCUUAUCAGCUUGUUGGUGGGGUAGUGGCUUACCAAGGCUUUGACGGGUAGCCGGCCUGAGAGGGUGACCGGCCACAUUGGGACUGAGAUACGGCCCAGACUCCUACGGGAGGCAGGAGUGGGGAAUAUUGCACAAUGGGCGGAAGCCUGAUGCAGCAACGCCGCGUGCGGGAUGACGGCCUUCGGGUUGUAAACCGAUUUCGCCUGUGACGAAGCGUGAGUGACGGUAAUGGGGAAAGAAGCACCGGCUAACUACGU